RNAcentral lists this ribosomal RNA (119 nucleotides) under Vigna angularis (adzuki bean). Lineage: Eukaryota; Viridiplantae; Streptophyta; Magnoliopsida; Fabales; Fabaceae. The record is from RNAcentral.
AGGUGCGAUCAUACCAGCACUAAUGCACCGGAUUCCAUCAGAACUUCGCAGCUAAGCGUGCUUGGGCGAGAGUAGUACUAGGAUGGGUGACCUCCUGGGAAGUCCUCGUGUUGCACCUC